CGCGCAACGGGGUUGUGUAGUCAUACAGGAGGCCGCGCGCAGUGGAGACAGUCUAACAAAUCUUAUUUUACGAGCAAGUAAUUUAGGCAUAAAUAAUGUUUUCAGUGCAGCUUGCAUAUUUCCUGACCUACACACAUGUCAAUAAUUCAGAAAGCCUAACUGUAUGCGCGGCUACAGCAGAGGGAAAUCUCCAGGAUUGGUGAAGGCUGCAACAGCUCGGCUACGUUUAAAGCUCAGUCGCUACGGGUGCCCGGUAGCUUCACAGCGCAGACUAGAAUGCACAGAUGAACAAAAAGAGGACAAACAAGUGUAACUCAUCCACCCCCAACUUCCCCCCACAUCUCCACUAGGCUCAGGCUGAGCCCCUUUAUACUGGGAUGAACGCGGGGCCACCCGCCCAGUGAGUGUGUGUGCCUGAGGAAUGUCCUCCUCCGAAGAAAUGGGAUGAGUCUUGCUUCGUAACCACGC
This is a long non-coding RNA of Esox lucius (northern pike), 468 nucleotides long. Lineage: Eukaryota; Metazoa; Chordata; Actinopteri; Esociformes; Esocidae. The record is from Ensembl.